Non-coding RNA from Sander lucioperca (pikeperch), 484 nucleotides. The record is from the annotation of a RefSeq genome assembly. NCBI's taxonomy places the organism in Eukaryota, Metazoa, Chordata, Actinopteri, Perciformes, Percidae.
CAUGACAACAGAAGCCCCAGAAAUCCUCCUCAUCAAAAACAUGACUCUGAUCUCCGUCCUCAUCUGGACUCUCCUCUGCUGCUGCUUCACAGAGUCCAGAGGUCAGGUCACAGUGACUCAGCCUGGAGCAGUGAGCUCUGCUCGGGGAGCCUCCGUCUCCAUCAGCUGUAGGCUCAGUCAAAAUGUUUAUGUAGCGCCUUCAAAUUGGGGUUCGAACAGUGGGAAAAACGUUUUGUACUGGUACCAACAGAGAGAUGGAGAAGCUCCUAAACUGCUCAUUAAAUUUGUUAAUGAGCGAGCAUCAGGGAUUUCAGGUCGUUUUUCAGGCAGUGGAUCAAACUCUGACUUCACUCUGACCAUCAGUGGAGUUGAGGCUGAAGAUGCAGCAGUUUAUUACUGUCAGAGUUAUCAUUGGAUCAACAGUCAGAAUGUGUUCACGUUCCGUGGAAUGGAUGAGUAGACUGGAUGUUUUCUACUGAGAUGC